UACGAAGGGUGCAAGCGUUACUCGGAAUUACUGGGCGUAAAGGGCGCGUAGGCGGCCUUCUAAGUCGAACGUGAAAUCCCCGGGCUCAACCCGGGAACUGCGUCCGAUACUGGAAGGCUUGAAUCCGGGAGAGGGAUGCGGAAUUCCAGGUGUAGCGGUGAAAUGCGUAGAUAUCUGGAGGAACACCGGUGGCGAAGGCGGCAUCCUGGACCGGCAUUGGCGCUGAGGCGCGAAAGCGUGGGGAGCAAACAGG
RNAcentral lists this ribosomal RNA (253 nucleotides) under uncultured bacterium. RNAcentral's name for it is "partial 16S ribosomal RNA". It matches the Rfam family "Bacterial small subunit ribosomal RNA", at positions 524 to 776 of the family's 1533-position model. The record is from RNAcentral.